UUUUUGGCCUGUAUCUGAUAGAAAGUAUCAGCCAUUUAAGAGUUAAAACAUUAACUCCAAGUUAUUCAGAAAGGCAAUUUUCUGUAGAUUUGCACAGAGGGAUGGAAUUUGACCUAAGGCACAAUUAUCUAAAUGCAGAAGCACGCAACAUGACCAUCAACUUGAAGGAAGCUUGGAGUAGUCAGUUCUACAAGUUGGGGUUGGAGGUCAAUUUGGAAAGGCAUUGGUAAGAUUCAAGAGUGCAUUACAAAUAAAUGGUAAAUUACCUUUUUAAUGAUGUAUCUUCCUCUUGUAGGCACAGGAGACUUUAAGGCUAUUUCUCACAAUGGGUGAGACUCUCUAGAUAGUCCGUUAGGGAUAAUUUUGGCUAAAAUUACAUUGGAAAAUAGGUGGAACUUUUUGAUUUUGUAAUUUCCUUUGUUUUCUGCAUGUCUGGCUGUCUCUACUUUAAUCUAGUUUUGCGUGUGAUUCACAAAACUGACGUCACAUGGCAGUCUCAUGGAUCUGAGUGUUUUGUAGUUGAUUAGCUGCUGCAGAAUAUAGCCAACUGCAGACAUUGGCAGGGAGUGUUCUGCAUUGAAGGGUGCUAGGAAUAUCGGAAAAUGGUCCUAACUUCUCCCUGAUCACUUAGCCUUAGCAACAGGGAUCCGUGUUGCUCCUCCCUUCAGAAUGGCAUAGCAGUCACACUGAGAUAUGUGAAUUUCGCACUGAGUUUUCUGGGCUAUGGGGAUGAGUGGGCUUGAGUAAAAUGCAAAGAUCCUGUCUUUACUCUAAAAAUUUUUUACAAAGUGGAUUGGAAAUUCCCAUCUCUGUUUCCCAACUUUAGAACGAAUGAUUAUGAGACCCCUGAAUGUUUCGAGUCCCCACUGUUCUUAAGAAUAAAUGAGAUAAUAAAUGUUAAGCACUUAAUCUGGUUCCUGAAACCUUACGAGGAGUGAAUAAAUGAUGGCUACUUAUAUUGUCAUGUUCAUUGCUAGUGUUUUGCUCCAUAGUUUUGCUCCUGGCUCCUGAUCUUUCUUUCAGUUUAAGAACAUUCCUGCAGAAUCAUCAGCCACAGUCCUGCCUUGAGAUAAAUUUUUCUGGAAUGAUGGUCAUCUAUCUUCCUUCUUUGAGUCUGAGCCCUUUCCUUCUGAACGUGGGGAACUUCUUCUUCGUUAAUUUUCCCAGAGUAUUUCUGAAGAACAGCAAGAAUUCCCUGGAAUAAGGUGUUGAAAUUAUUGCACUGUGCUACAGGGAAAAUAUUUUUCCUUAAGAUCAUAGUGCGUCUGAAAGACUCCAGCUCUGAUCUUAGAGGCAUAAAAGUAAGGAAAUGUGGCUCUGACCUUGGAAAGAACCAUAAAUCAACUGAGGGUUGGAUCUAGAGCCUACUUAAUUCCAGAAUUUCAGCUGCAAAGUGUUAACCUAAACUCUAAACACAUCACAAUGCCUGGAAUAAGGUAAGUGCUCAAUAGAUGUUACAUAUUAUUGUCAUGAUUAUUAUCAAUGUCAUCAUUGCACUGCUCCGGUAGGUAAUCUCUGUCUUCCCCUAAAUGAUUCCCCCAAAGUAGAUGUGAGGUCUUGCCCAGUAAUCAACAUAGUGAUGUGUGAAAUACCCACCCAUGUUGAGAUUAAAAGGCCAUAAUAAUUCACCAAGAACCUACAAGGACCUGUUUAUAAGCCAAGUAUUCUUCUAGGUAUGGGGGUAAACAGACACAAAUUUCUUGCUUAUUAGAGGCCUUGAUACAAAAAAAAAAAAAAUCAUAGCCUUGUAAAGAAGGGAAUAGGCUGAAGGAGAAUAUGUAAAUAAGACAGUAACUGCUAGAGUGCAUCGACAUUUUUUAAAUACUCAUUAAUCCAGACCUGGGUUUAUGUUAGUUUAAACAAGUAUCCAUCCUUUCUUUUUUUUCACACUAACCUAGUGGCAGCUACUGAACUUCUUCUGGAAGAACUGAUGUCUCUGCAGCACCUUGCACAGUUCCUGGCUCAAAUCUACAUUUAACAAGUGCCCGUUUUACUCAAAUCCUCCCUGGGCCCCAGGGCCACAUGAUGGCUUUGACUGACCCAAGGGAACAGACGUGGGCACAGAGGUAGGGCAGAGCCAAAUUCUAACCAAGGGCCUCUGAAAUCAAAGCAUCAUGUGAUUUUACUUUAGCAGCUUAGCCUUCCACUGGAUCUGAUCUUUUCCAGGCGAAUAUUUUCCAAAAACAACAAAUAUGCCCCAUUUUCAAGGAAGUGCUUCUAAAGUCUCUUCUCUUACUGAUGAGUUUCUCAGAUGGGCAAAGUGUAUUCUGUGGGUAUGAAAGGCAAGAAAACUAAACAAUGAAUGGAUCUAUACCUUGUUCCGUGUACUUUGGAAUGUUUUGGUUUCCACCUUGGCAGUUAUUGGGGAAAUCCUAUCCUUGGAUUAGGAGCCAUGCUCAUAGCAAAUUCAGGGGAAGAAAUUCUUUACACUGAAGUUAGGGUGAAUGGAAUAUUAGCAAAGAGUUUCUUUUCUUUUGGGGGGCACAGGUGAAGGGGCUUGUGGGAAUAACCUUUGUCAGGAACGAUGGAGAUAGCAUUAGCUCAACCUUGAGCCUUGAGCUUCUUUCAGAAGAAUAUAUAAGAGGAACCC
This is a non-coding RNA of Oryctolagus cuniculus (rabbit), 2590 nucleotides long. NCBI's taxonomy places the organism in Eukaryota, Metazoa, Chordata, Mammalia, Lagomorpha, Leporidae. The record is from RefSeq and is a predicted model, not a curated record.